RNAcentral lists this transfer RNA (76 nucleotides) under Candidatus Margulisbacteria bacterium GWD2_39_127. RNAcentral describes it as "tRNA-Thr". It matches the Rfam family "tRNA". From Rfam's summary of the family: Transfer RNA (tRNA) molecules are approximately 80 nucleotides in length. Their secondary structure includes four short double-helical elements and three loops (D, anti-codon, and T loops). RNAcentral also lists the same sequence under 3 other names. The record is from RNAcentral. Lineage: Bacteria; Bacillati; Candidatus Margulisiibacteriota.
GCCGAUGUAGCUCAGUUGGUAGAGCAACUGAUUCGUAAUCAGUAGGUCCGCGGUUCAAUUCCGCGCAUCGGCUCCA